Molecule: long non-coding RNA, 693 nt
Filed under: Anser brachyrhynchus (Pink-footed goose)
Lineage: Eukaryota; Metazoa; Chordata; Aves; Anseriformes; Anatidae
Description: lncRNA (ENSABRG00000022397.1)
Source: RNAcentral
UUCUUCUUCUUCUUCUUCUUCUUCUUCUUCUUUACUGCUCCUACUUCUACUACUAAUAUUUCUACUACUACUACUUCUACUACUACUUCUUCUACUACUUCUUCUACUACUACUACUUCUACUACUUCUUCUACUACUACUACUUCUUCUUCUUAUACGUCUUUUUUCUCUUCUUCUUCUUUUUGAAACUCAUUAGGGGAAGAAAAAAAGAGAGAGAAAUCAGAAUGUCUGGGCCCAUUUCCCCUCCGUUUUUCAGUGGAGAAACCCAAAUACAGUUUUAUAAUUUUUAUUAGACCUUUUUAGGGCAGUGGAGGAAAAGUGCAGUUACCUGUUGAAAGCUACUUUCAAAGACGAACAUUCAAAUGAACAUGUUUCGUUGUUGUUUUUGAGUAAUUUCUGAGGUAUAUUUCCUUUAUUUCAUAUUUUUAACCUAAAUUGUAUGCACUGGAGCAACUAUCAUGGAGUCAAGUCAGAAACAUGGAAUAGUUCCUAUACAAAGAAUGGUUUGAAUAGACUAGGACUGUUUUGCCUGGUUAGAAAUGGUAUUAAAGAAUCAUUUAUUCCUGUCAAUGAACACAGUGACAACCCUGGACAGAGAUGCCAGGUCCUCCAAAUGACACCUGACUGGAAACAAAAAGCACUGUAUGCAAAGCAGCAUUCGCUGGGCCUUGAAGUUAAUGAACUGCACCGUGC